GCCCAAAGCAGUUAUUGAAGGCGCAGGAUCCCAGGGAAGGAAUGAAGAGCAGGAGGAGGAGGAAGAGGAGGGUGUUUUAGGCCAGGAGAACUAUGGGGUUUCUGUCGCUUCCACUCUUUCAGAUUUGCUGGCUCUUUCCUUCGAAGCCCGGGACAGCAGGCGAGCAGAUCCUCACCUUCCAGCUCGGUCUCUCUGGUGUUUUGGCAGAGGCGGCUCCAAUGCAUGGGCCAGACUCGGUCCCUGGCCAGGCCAACCCUGUCUCGGGAUCCUCUAGAAUGCAUCAGCUGGGCUUGGGAGCGAAGGGAGACGCCUGGAAGAGAAUUGUAUUGCUUCAUCCCCGAGGGCACCUAUGAGGACGCGGCUCUGGGAGCAGGGAUCUGGGCCCGGACGCGGGAAGAGGAGAACAGGGAGCAGGACCCAGGCGCGGGCUGGGGAUCAGAGCGCGGGAAGUGGGGAGCGGGUUCCGGGUUCAGACAGCGGGGCAUGGGAAGCCGGGCCACAGUAUACUCACCGCUGCGCAGCGUCCCGGUUGGCGGGCCGCGUAGGCCGGGCCGCCGCGGAAAGGAAAGGCCGGAGCCCUCCGGCUCCCUCCCCUGGGACACUUCCUGCACCGCUCUAGGACCGAGGAGGUCUCCUCAUCUCAGUGGUUCGCUUCCCCGCCUCCUGGCCGAGGUGUACGCGGGGGGGUGACAUCCGACACCCCCGGCCCGCCUGGACCGCCCCGCCCCGCCCCGCUCCGUGCUCUCCCGGCCUGGGCCCGGGGCCCGGGCUUUAGCUUUGUGGGCCUUCCUAGCGGGCUCGGGAUGCGCGCGCGCGCCCCGGCGGGACCCGGGCGCUGGGGGCCAGUUCGCGCGGCCACCAGCCAGGGAGGCCGGCUUGGGGCUUUGCUCUUCUCUGCUCCUCUUGUGUGGGCGCAGGGAAGGGCUGGUCUGGCGGCGCUGGCGAAAUGCCAGAAUUGGGAGGAGGAGGGAUGAGGUGUAAGGGGAUCUCCCAGUGACCAUUUGCAUCCCGUGUGUGCUGUUGUGCCCCAAUCCCUUCCAGCCGCAAUUCCAUUUCAAAGCCAACGCUGCCAGAGCCACCCAAAUCGGUAGGACUGGAGAAAUGCAGACCCAGCGAUCCACGGUGCUCGCCGAAGCAGCGGCCCGCGGCUUCGUGGCAUGGAGAUGAUCUACGAUUUCUCUGUUUAAGGAAGACUGUAGCACUCUGGGUCCCUCUGAGCACCAGGAUAGUCCUGGUACAUGGUAGGAAGUCACCCUUAAAGAAGGUGGUUUGAUAGAGACACCCCACCACCGGCAGACUUCGUGCUUCCGUUUCCUUCUAAUAAUUGGGACUGGGACAAUCUCUUCCGACUAGUAGAACCUGGAAUAGGGACUAAUAGACUGGAAUCGGAGCACCUGUGUUAAAUCACACCCAUCAAGGCGCAGUCAGGUGAUCUAAGGCCUGCGUGACCUCUCUGUGCUUCAGGGAUCGCAUUUGGAUGCAUGUGCAAGCUGUGCUGUAGCCACCUCAGGUCCUGAAUCUUUAGGACUUGCUGGAGCUCAUUGCUGAUCUAUUUUGGCAGCACGAGUGGUGAUGCACACCUGUAAUCUCCGCACUCCGGGACUGGGGGCUGGAGGAUCAGGUCAUGGUCUCCUAUAUAGUGAGCGAGUUUGGGGUCAGCUUGAAUGAUGAGAUACCCAGUCUGAAAAUAAAGAUGCAAAUUGAUGAGCUGUGGAGCGACACCCGCAUGCAGUUGAGUCAUCACGCAUAUACCUACCUCCCCACAUCCUUCAUGGCCCCCAGGAAGCUCCAGCUGGCUUACAGACUGACUUGUUUUGAGAUAGGGUCUCACUGUGUAGCCCUGACUGGCCUGGAACCCACCGAUCUGCUUGCUUCUGCCUCCUGAGCUGCGUGAUUAAAAGCAUGUGCCACCACACCUGGCUCUAUUGCAUUUAUUUAUGUAUGCGGUGGGAGUGGGUACGCACACACACUUUAGAGGUCAGAGAACAGCUUACCGCGAUCAGCUCUCUCUGUCCACCCUGGGGAUUGAACUCAGGUCGCCUGGCUUGCUAGCCAGUGUCUUUGCCACAGAGCCAUCUCAGCAGGUCAGUUUACUCUUUUAACCUGGGAGAGAACAUGCGGUGGGCCUUUGUCCUUCUGUGUUACUAUUUCAUUUAACUUGAUGUCUAUCCCUUUGGCUAUAAGUGAAGAAUUUCCUUACGGAUGCCUGAAUAAAACUCCAUUUUGU
RNAcentral lists this long non-coding RNA (2227 nucleotides) under Mus musculus (house mouse). RNAcentral describes it as "RIKEN cDNA 4933439C10 gene (4933439C10Rik)". The record is from RNAcentral. Lineage: Eukaryota; Metazoa; Chordata; Mammalia; Rodentia; Muridae.